This 422-nucleotide ribosomal RNA is filed under the name uncultured bacterium. RNAcentral describes it as "bacterial SSU rRNA". It matches the Rfam family "Bacterial small subunit ribosomal RNA", at positions 29 to 501 of the family's 1533-position model. The record is from RNAcentral.
AACGAACGCUGGCGGCAGGCCUAACACAUGCAAGUCGAGCGCACCUUCGGGUGAGCGGCGGACGGGUGAGUAACGCGUGGGAACGUGCCCUUCUCUACGGAAUAGCCUCGGGAAACUGAGAGUAAUACCGUAUACGCCCUUCGGGGGAAAGAUUUAUCGGAGAAGGAUCGGCCCGCGUUGGAUUAGGUAGUUGGUGGGGUAAUGGCCUACCAAGCCGACGAUCCAUAGCUGGUUUGAGAGGAUGAUCAGCCACACUGGACUGAGACACGGCCCAGACUCCUACGGGAGGCAGCAGUGGGGAAUCUUAGACAAUGGGGCAACCCUGAUCCAGCCAUGCCGCGUGAGUGAUGAAGGCCCUAGGGUCGUAAAGCUCUUUCGCCUGUGAAGAUAAUGACGGUAGCAGGUAAGAAACCCCGGCUAAC